Molecule: ribosomal RNA, 718 nt
Filed under: uncultured bacterium
Lineage: Bacteria
Description: bacterial SSU rRNA
Rfam family: Bacterial small subunit ribosomal RNA
Source: RNAcentral
CAUGCAAGUCGAGCGAGAAAGGGCUUCGGCCCCGGUAAAGCGGCGCACGGGUGAGUAACACGUAGGUAAUCUGCCCCCAGGUGGUGGAUAACGUUCCGAAAGGAGCGCUAAUACAGCAUGAGACCACGUCUUCGAAAGAGGAUGGGGUCAAAGCCGGCCUCUUCAUGAAAGCUGGCGCCAGGGGAUGAGCCUGCGGCCCAUCAGCUAGUUGGUAGGGUAAUGGCCUACCAAGGCGAAGACGGGUAGCUGGUCUGAGAGGAUGAUCAGCCACACUGGAACUGACACACGGUCCAGACUCCUACGGGAGGCAGCAGUGGGGAAUCUUGCGCAAUGGGCGAAAGCCUGACGCACCGACGCCGCGUGAGUGAUGAAGGCCUUCGGGUUGUAAAGCUCUGUGGAGGGGGGCGAAUAAGGGUUGGCUAACAUCCAACUCGAUGACGGUACCCCUUUAGCNAGCACCGGCUGACUCUGUGCCAGCAGCCGCGGUAAGACAGAGGGUGCAUACGUUGUUCGGAAAUUACUGGGCGUAAAGCGCGCGUAGGCGGCUUUUGUAAUUUAUAGGUGAAACCCCGGGGCUCAACUCCGGAGCUGCCUUUUAAGACUGCAUCGCUAGAAUCCAGGAGAGGUGAGUGGGAUUUCCGAGUGUANAGGUGAAAUUCGUAGAUAUUCNGAAGAACGCCAGUGGCGAAGGCGCUCCCUGCACUGGUUUUGACGCUGA